Molecule: ribosomal RNA, 377 nt
Filed under: uncultured cyanobacterium
Lineage: Bacteria; Bacillati; Cyanobacteriota
Description: bacterial SSU rRNA
Rfam family: Bacterial small subunit ribosomal RNA
Source: RNAcentral
CGAAAGCCUGACGGAGCAACGCCGCGUGAGGGAGGAAGGCUCUUGGGUUGUAAACCUCUUUUCUCAAGGAAGAUAAUGACGGUACUUGAGGAAUCAGCAUCGGCUAACUCCGUGCCAGCAGCCACAGUAAUACGGAGGAUGCAAGCGUUAUCCGGAAUAAUUGGGCGUAAAGCGUUCGUAGGUGGUGAUGUAAGUCUGCUGUUAAAGCGUGUAGCUUAACUACAUAUAGGCGGUGGAAACUACAUGACUAGAGUGCGUUCGGGGCAGAGGGAAUUCCUGGUGUAGCGGUGAAAUGCGUAGAUAUCAGGAAGAACACCGGUGGCGAAGGCGCUCUGCUAGGCCGUAACUGACACUGAGGGACGAAAGCUAGGGGAGCG